GAGUUUGAUCCUGGCUCAGGAUGAACGCUAGCGGCAGGCCUAACACAUGCAAGUCGAGGGGUAACAGGGAAGAGCUUGCUCUUUCGCUGACGACCGGCGCACGGGUGCGUAACGCGUAUACAACCUACCUUUUGGAGGGGAAUAGCCCAGGGAAACUUGGAUUAAUGCCCCAUAGUAUGGGAAUAUCUCCUAAUAUUUUCAUUAAACAUUUAUGGCCAUUAGAUGGGUAUGCGUCCUAUUAGUUAGUUGGUAAGGUAACGGCUUACCAAGGCAGCGAUAGGUAGGGGUCCUGAGAGGGAGAUCCCCCACACUGGUACUGAGACACGGACCAGACUCCUACGGGAGGCAGCAGUGAGGAAUAUUGGACAAUGGGCGAGAGCCUGAUCCAGCCAUGCCGCGUGCAGGAAGACUGCCCUAUGGGUUGUAAACUGCUUUUACAGAGGAAGAACCACUCCCACGUGUGGGAGUUUGACGGUACUCUGCGAAUAAGGAUCGGCUAACUCCGUGCCAGCAGCCGCGGUAAUACGGAGGAUCCAAGCGUUAUCCGGAAUCAUUGGGUUUAAAGGGUCCGUAGGCGGGCAGUUAAGUCAGUGGUGAAAGUCUUCCGCUCAACGGGAGAACUGCCAUUGAUACUGAUUGUCUUGAGUUAUUAUGAAGUGGUUAGAAUGAGUAGUGUAGCGGUGAAAUGCAUAGAUAUUACUCAGAAUACCGAUUGCGAAGGCAGAUCACUAAUAAUAUACUGACGCUGAUGGACGAAGGCGUAGGUAGCGAACAGGAUUAGAUACCCUGGUAGUCUACGCCGUAAACGAUGGUUACUAGCUGUUCGGCCCGAUUAAGGGCUGAGUGGUUAAGCGAAAGUGAUAAGUAACCCACCUGGGGAGUACGUUCGCAAGAAUGAAACUCAAAGGAAUUGACGGGGGCCCGCACAAGCGGUGGAGCAUGUGGUUUAAUUCGAUGCAACGCGAAGAACCUUACCUACUCUUGACAUCCAGAGAACUUUCCAGAGAUGGAUUGGUGCCUUCGGGAACUCUGAGACAGGUGCUGCAUGGCUGUCGUCAGCUCGUGUUGUGAAAUGUUGGGUUAAGUCCCGCAACGAGCGCAACCCUUAUCCUUGUUUGCCAGCGAGUAAUGUCGGGAACUCCAGGGAGACUGCCGGUGAUAAACCGGAGGAAGGUGGGGACGACGUCAAGUCAUCAUGGCCCUUACGAGUAGGGCUACACACGUGCUACAAUGGUGCGUACAGAGGGCUGCAAGCUCGCGAGAGCAAGCCAAUCCCUUAAAACGCAUCGUAGUCCGGAUCGGAGUCUGCAACUCGACUCCGUGAAGUCGGAAUCGCUAGUAAUCGCGAAUCAGAAUGUCGCGGUGAAUACGUUCCCGGGCCUUGUACACACCGCCCGUCACACCAUGGGAGUGGGUUGCUCCAGAAGUAGCUAGUCUAACCUUCGGGAGGACGGUUACCACGGAGUGAUUCAUGACUGGGGUGAAGUCGUAACAAGGUAACC
RNAcentral lists this ribosomal RNA (1502 nucleotides) under uncultured Salegentibacter sp. RNAcentral's name for it is "bacterial SSU rRNA". It matches the Rfam family "Bacterial small subunit ribosomal RNA". The record is from RNAcentral. Lineage: Bacteria; Pseudomonadati; Bacteroidota; Flavobacteriia; Flavobacteriales; Flavobacteriaceae.